RNAcentral lists this ribosomal RNA (469 nucleotides) under uncultured organism. RNAcentral describes it as "partial 16S ribosomal RNA". It matches the Rfam family "Bacterial small subunit ribosomal RNA", at positions 333 to 799 of the family's 1533-position model. The record is from RNAcentral.
ACACUCUGCGGGAGGCAGCAGUGAGGAAUAUUGGACAAUGGGUGGAAGCCUGAUCCAGCCAUCCCGCGUGCAGGAAGACGGCCCUAUGGGUUGUAAACUGCUUUUAUCUGGGGAUAAACCUACUUACGUGUAAGUAGCUGAAGGUACCAGAAGAAUAAGCACCGGCUAACUCCGUGCCAGCAGCCGCGGUAAUACGGAGGGUGCAAGCGUUAUCCGGAUUUAUUGGGUUUAAAGGGUCCGUAGGCGGACUGAUAAGUCAGUGGUGAAAUCCGACAGCUUAACUGUCGAACUGCCAUUGAUACUGUUAGUCUUGAGUAAGGUUGAAGUGGCUGGAAUAAGUAGUGUAGCGGUGAAAUGCAUAGAUAUUACUUAGAACACCAAUUGCGAAGGCAGGUCACUAAGUCUUAACUGACGCUGAUGGACGAAAGCGUGGGGAGCGAACAGGAUUAGAAACCCCUGUAGUCCCAUG